This is an RNA transcript of Microplitis mediator, 7703 nucleotides long. It is a transcript of the gene named NAD-dependent protein deacetylase Sirt6, with no coding region annotated. NCBI's taxonomy places the organism in Eukaryota, Metazoa, Arthropoda, Insecta, Hymenoptera, Braconidae. The transcript is spliced from 2 exons. The record is from RefSeq and is a predicted model, not a curated record.
AUAUAAUCCCAUAUAUGUAAAAAACAUAUAUUCAUAAAUGUAUAUAUUUUUGCCGCCAUAUAUUUAUCACAUAUUCACCAUAUAUAUUUUUAUAUAUUUUCAACAAGAUAAGAUAAGAUAAGAUAAGAUUUUUAUUGCUUAAAGAGUACAUACAGAACCCAUUGCAAGGGGAUACAAAAUUUUGAUGCAUUUAAAACAAAUCGCUUUCUGUCGGUCAAAAAGAAACAUAUAUAACAUAUAAUGAGAUAGAAUAAUAAUAAUAUAAUUGUAUAAAGCAAAAACAAAAAAAAACUAAAAUUUUUAUUUACAUAAGCAGAAGGCUCUGGUUUGGCAGCUAUAAGCAGUAUAGUAAUAUAUAUCUUUAAUCACUUUGGUUUCUUCACAGUUUAAAAUCUCAUUUAAAGCUCAGAUGCUACCCGCUGGAGAGAUAAGGUUGUGCUCACGGAAAUUUUUAAAAAUAGGGCAUUUCAACAAGAAAUGUUCGAUCGUAUCCUGCUCAUGGAGGAGAUACAUAGGAGUCGCUAAAGUGUAUACACGUUGUCUGUCUGUCGGGAACUUUUUAUCGCUAGAAAAUCAACAAUCACGUUCUAUUAAUUAUUAAAAGAGAAACUACGGGUAUCUUUAAUAGUGUUUUAUCAGUACAAAUAGUGAAAAAGGUGCUAGUACAUAGAAUUUGUUGAAUAUUACACAAAAAAUGAAUUCAAGAGUGAUUGAAGGUUAGGGUGAGCGGAAUGCAUGAUAGCUCCAAAUCUAAUGGGUCCGCGCAUAAAGGUGCUGCCACCUCGAACCGAAUCACAAAAAAUGCAAGCCAAAAGCCUUGCUCAGACGGCCAAGACAUAUGUGGACUUAAAGUAAAAAGUAAUCCAGGUAGACCUUUGAAAGCCUUGACGUUCACCCAGGAAAAAGCUGGUUCAGCUUGUGAUCUGAGGGAAUACUGCAAACGCAAGCGUGACGAACAGGAUCUAAAUAACUCCAUAUCGGAUCUGGAGGAAAAUCUCCAAACUUUCAAGAAGUCGUCUAAAUCACUUCGUACACCAUCCUCAGUUAAGUACAACUCUAUUACUAAUUCUGAUCCGCCCUUGUCUACCGACAGUAUUGCACUCUGUAUUUCAGAAAAUUUGUCACAAACCUCCAGCAUGGAACAAGUUGCUGAAAUGAGAAAGGAGGCCGCCACUAACAAAGCUAGCAUCGAGAAACAAAUCCUAUUAAGUAAAACAGAAAAUCAAAUAAUCAUUGAGCAAUUAAGAACAGACCUGAGAAAGUCGGAGAAUGCUUGGGACCUAAAAUGGACAGCAUUGCAGAAUAAACAGGAAAACCUGAAGGCUGAGAUCUCCUCGCUUAAAUUGCAGAUAAAUAGUAGGACAAUAGACCUGGACUCAGAUGGCAAUAAUGAAAAUUUAGUAUCUUCCAGCCUCAAGAAACACUUAGACAGAUCUAAUGAUAGAAUUAAGCAAAUGGAGGAGGCCUUAAGUGCGCAGGAAAAAAUACAAAAGCGCUGCAAUAUAAUUUUGAAAAAUCAUAAUCUCAUCAUGUCCAAUAUUAAAGAGCAGAGUCAAAGUUCCAUCAAGCAACAUUUCAACCUCGAUGAUGCAGUUGAUAGUGUUGCACCUGCUGAUAGAGAAGGGAAAUUCCUCAGAAUCAAGCUAAUAAAUCAGAAGGUUAAAGAAAUAAUAAUGAAAGCCAAAGCAGCUGCAUUAAAGGACACUAAAAUUUCAAUACAGCACGAUCUAACAAAGCAGGAAAUGGCAUGUGUUAAAAAGCUAAAAGAGGCAGUAACUCAGCAUAAAGCCAGGGGUCACUUGGUAAAAAUGCACGGCACACGAGUAAACAUACAGUGAAACCUGGAUAAGUUAGAAACCUCAAUAAGUGAGACUUUUUUCUCAGGUCCCGGUACCUCUGCACUGAAAAACCUCUUUAAGUGACAGUGAUGAACCUCUAUAAGUGAGACAUUUUUCAGGACUUACUAGUUUUUUUCUCUCAUAUUUAAAGCUAUUUAUCCCAUUGUAUUGGCAACAUUCUUUUAGUAUGCGUUCAUUAAUGCGUAUUUAGUAUUCGUCACCUGUUUAUUUGCAAAUUACUUUAUCUUUUCUCUCUAUUAUGGCAUUUCGAAUCCAUUCAUUUUUCUUCAGUCAUUCAGUAUCAUUCAUUAGUCUGAGCCAAAAUGUCGAGAAGAAAAUUACAUUGUCUAUAUACAAAUCUGACGCGGAAAAAGCGUUGUGGACAUUGCAUAAAUAUUUUGAAUUUUCUAAUAUUAAUGAUAAAACUAUUUUUGAUAAAUUAUUUGUUAUUGAAAAAUUGUUGACUGCUGAUUGUAACUUAAAGCAAACUAAAAUGACUAAAUUUUAUAAGUGAAUUACUGUAUUUCAUUAUACAGUAUAGUAAUGUAUAUUCUCUAUUUCUAUUUAUUAUUCUCUGAACUUGUCUAUCUCAGUUUCCCUCUCUGUGUGAGAAACUCGGGUAAGUGAGAAACCUCUAUAAGUGAGAAAAAAAUCUUAGUCCCUUCAAGUUUCACUUAUAUAGGUUUUACUGUAGAUAAUAAGUGGUACACCUGGGAUCUAGCAAACGAUAAAUUAGAAAAUUUAGGAAAACGCAUAACUCCGGAAACCCCAGGCACUUUCUCCGCUGCUACUCGCAUGGAGAUGCUUAUAGUGCAACUAAAAAACUAAUAAAAAUCUUAGCAUGGAACUCGAGGGGAAUCCAAAAUCUUCUCAACUAUAACUUUAGUAUUAAAGCAGAUAUAGUUUGUGCAUGUGAAACGUGGGCAACGUCGCCUCUUAAACUACCUAAUUUCUGGUCUAGAUACUCGGAACUGUGGACUCCUGCCAUCAAAGAGAAAAGCACUGGACACGCAAGCGGUGGAUUAGUUAUUCUCACAGCUCAGCAUAUUAAAGCCACCAUGUUAAAAUCCUCAGAUAUUUGGAUAUUUGCUCUUAUUGAAACAGGAAAAUUUUCAUGUGUUCUGGCCUGUGUAUACAUUCGUCCAAGUUGAGACAUGAAUGCUUCUUUAAACUUUCUCAAAUUAGCUUUAGAUGAAGUAACAGCAUCUCAUGGGCACCUGCCGAUAUAUUUAGCUGGUGACUAUAAUGCCAAGAUAGGAAAUCGUACCACGGUACACGAAGAAUUUAUAGCUGAUUGUAACCUCCAGGCCAGCAGGGAUUCGAGGGACCUUGUAAUUAACUCAAGAGGACGCACACUAGUCGACUUCAUGACUGAUAAUAGUCUGGUACUCAUCAACGGCCGAUCGAACAGUGAUCGACCGAGCAAUUUCACUUGCAUACACCUCAGCCGAAGCACAAUUGACUUUAUCUGGGCUAGUAUAAGUGCCUUACAUUUAAUUUAUGAUAUGGAAGUGCUGCAAGAGGACUCUUCUUCAGAUCAUAUCCCUAUACUUCUCCAACUGGACGUAGAAGCUCAAACAGAAUUGGACCAACCCGAUACCCGACUCAGCAGAACUACUUUAAUCUGGUCCAAACAUACUGAGCAAUCCUAUACUAGCUACAUGAGAUGGUCGCAGAAAAUCGCAGUAGACUUUGAAAGUACGCCACUAAACGAGCUCAAUGAAAAUUGCUACGAUGCUAUUAUGGAGGCAGCGGAAACCUUGAAUCUCAUCAAAACUCGUAAUAAAUGUCACAAUCAGCGCAGUAAUACUUCCUGGUAUGACGAGGAGUGCAAGCUUGGGAAAAAAAAUUUUAAUAUUUUUAUCAAUAUAUAGCUUUUCCAUACAGGCAUAGAUGGAGUCUGAUUUUUCUCCCGAAGUUAGAUUUAAUUUAAAUACUGAUAAACGUGAUUCCCGAUAUAAAAAAUCAUUUAUAAUUUUUUUAUCUGUACUUUUUUUCGUUAACUUUAUCUAACAAUUAAUAAUAUCUUAGGAGUGUUGAAAAAAUUUUUUCAGUUUUGUGUUCAACAGUACUUCUUCUACUGAACAACAACAUUCCUUGUUGAAAUAAAAUUUAUUUCUAACUCAAAUUUUGCUAAAUUAUGUUAGAGAGAACAAAGAUCUCCGUCUGUCCAAUUUUUGGUGUUCUUCAAAAAUUCAAGCCCGUAUGUUUACCAACUUAUAAAGAUUUUUUAAUUUAUUUUUCAUUGAUUAAAUUUGAUCUACGUUGUUCUUCAUCUAAAAAAUCAAACACUGGAGAAAUUCUGAAAAUCGUACUCGAAGACUUGAAAGUUAUAUGGGCGGGAGUUCCAAUACCGAUUGUUUCAGAUCCGAGAAUUCUGUCAUUAAUGAAAGUUUCUGUCGGGAAAUAUGAAAACAUAAAAAGGCCUCAGAAAAUCCCGUAAGACCAUGGAAUACGAAAACAAAAAGAGUGGGUAUUUAUUACAUGCAAAAAGAAUCUCUUAGAUAUUGCAAAGUGUAAAUGUUUGUCUUUAGUGAAACGUGUUUGUGACAUUGUUAAAUUACCCAAUUCUACGUAUGACUUUUUACAAAAUCAAAGAGGCACUAGAGCAUUAAAUUUAAUUGAUAUUUUCUCGUCAUCUUCAAGAGAAAGAAAACUGGAUGAGUGUAAUCCUGAUGAUGCUGAAAUAAUCUCGAUCCCUUCUACAUCAACUGAAGAUUUAAAUCAAUUAGAUUUGCGACAAAUUAGUACCUUAUCAAAUUCACUCUCUAUUUCUACUGUUGACGUGGAAGAUUCUUCCCAUUAAAAACCUGCUAAACAAAUAAGACUUGAAUUGCCAAAUUUUGCUAAAACUUGUGAUCGGACAGGUAUCUCUGAUAGAUACGGUGCAAUUUUGGCAAAUCGAUUCUAGAAGACUUUAAAAUAAGUGAUAAAAAUAAUUCCAAUAACAUUGUCGAUAAAUGUGAAAUCAGAAAAGAAUGUGAAAAAAGUCGCCGUAUUUUGCAAAACAGAACGAUAAAACAUAAAGCUCUAACAGGUUUAUAUUUACACAGAUAGUCGUAAAAAUAACACACUAACUAAUGAAAAAAUCGAUAUGAAGUUUUACAGAAGAAAAUCACUUGAAGAACACAUAGUAUUAAUUUCAGAGCCUUGUUCUACUUAUUUCUGUCAUGAAACUAACUCCUCUAUCUGGCUCUGCAGAAGACAAUAAAAAUAGGAUCUUUAAUUAUUUUAAACAAAAUGUAGAUUAUUCGAAAUUACGAGCUGUUGGAAGUGAUGGACCAGUGUUUACAACAAUGGUGCUAAAAAUGGAGUUAUUGUUCAAAUUGAAAGAGAUUUGGGAUGGCCGGUUAAUUGGUUUCUUGUCUAUUUCAUUUCAAUGAACUGCGACUUCGGAAUCUUAUUCUGAAUCUAGAUGGCGUUAAGGCAGGGCCUAAUGAGUGAACUGGACCUAUAGGUAAAGAACUAAAAACGUUUGAAAAAAAACCUGUGACUAAAUUUGAAAGAAUUGAAUUUGAUCUUUCUCCAUUAGACAUCAAAGAUUUAAGUAAAGAUAAAAAAUACCUAUAUGAAAUGUUUGUAGGAAUUCCAAACGGAAAAAAAACUUCAGAUUUAUCUCGAUGGAAGAUGAGAGACAAAUAAUUCGAGAAAAAGCUGUAAAUUUGAUCCUACAAACAAGACAAAAAAAUAUUUCUUCAACGGAAGUGCGUUCUUUUAAUGUUCCUCAUUUAGACAUGAAUGCAAUAGAUAAUGUGGAUAUGAUAGAUUAGGCAAAGAUUUAAAUUACUGAACCACUUCUAAUAAAAGAUUUAAAUGAACAUAACUUGAGAAAAAUCAUCGAAAAUGGCUUGAAAUUUUAUAUUUCGGAAUAUUUUUGUUAUAAUCAAUAUCUAGAAAGGUCAAUUUAAAUACUGAGGCGUCAUCAAAAGUUUGCAGUUUAACUUCACGAGAUGGCUUCAUCAGGGCAACAUUACAGUCACGCAAAGAAUUACCCAAAUUCGAGACAAAAAAAGAUUACUAAGUGAAGUUGACGAUAACUGAAGACAAUAACAACAACAUUGAGUAGAAUUCCGGUGUAUUGUGAUUGCUAUUUUAAACAAUAUACAUGUGUUUCUUAAUUUAUUAGUCAGGUUACUUCAUUUUCUUUAUUUGUACUUUCAAUUUAAUAUUAUUGAAUUUUUAUUAUUGUUAACAUUGUGUUGAUAUUGUUCAUAAAUUAAUUUUGUUGUUAUUGAUUAAUUAUAAAUAAAAAAAACGUUAAAAACUCUACAAUUAUAUUACAAAUUCUCAUAAAAUUUUGGAUUAAACAUUUUCAGAGUUAUUGAUUAACUUCUCUCUUAUCAAUAACUUGAAAACAGGUGGUAGUAAAAAAUAUAUAAAUAGUGUUCUAGAAUCUGUAGGGUGUCCCCUCGAAAACCAAUUGAAAGUCAGAAAUUGAAAAAAUUCGUUGCUGUUCAUUUCCUGAGGUAUUUCACCACCAAAGAUUGGGCCUACAUCGUUGCUCCGACGUUUGCUGCCUACGCUUAUUGAGAGUCAUUUUCCACCUACAACUGCAGGGAUGAAACACGUAGUAAGGUACAUCGCAAGUGGGAUUCCGUUGUCCCCAAUCUAAAAUUAUACUUGGUCUCCUCCUGCGUGGAAUAUUUAUUUAAUACUUGAUUGCUAUAAAUUUAAUUCAAAUUAAUCCUAUUUGGGAAACUUUCAUAUUGUAAGAAUAGGUAUUUGGUUCAACAAAUAUAACAUUUCCCUUUGAUAAUGUAAAACAAAAUCUUUUACUUAAUAUGCCACCGGCUUCUUUCCUUUCAUAAUUAACAAGCGCAUAUUUCCGGGGAACGAGGCCACCCCCCCCCUCCCCAGCUCACAAAAUAAAUUAAUUUAAGUUGAUUAUAAGUAACCUUAGUCCAGAACAAAAGCUAUUCCAGCGACUUGGCCACCGGUAAUAUUUUAUACGGUAAAAAUUCUAUCCCCAUGCUAAGAAAAAAAAAAAUUUUUUUUUCGACUCAUCCUAAUGUUUAUAUAUAUAUAUUUAACACCAAGACACGCAUUUACUGUUACUUUCUACGCUUUUGAAGUUCUAGUCUUUUAGAAUUUUAUGUAGAAUAACAUAUUUCAGCGGCAGCAAAGUCGGGGGUGAUUACCUGGCAUAUCUUCCAGUUAGAAUUGAAAAUAAAAAGGUAAAUAAAAUAUAAAAAAAUAAUAUUAUUAUCAUGUCCUCGCUGCUAAAAAUGUAUAAAAAAAUAAUUCUCAAUCAAUUAAAACCAAAGCUAAUAAAAACAUUGAUGUUUUCUUGUUGGUCAAUGCAGAUGGACUUAGGUGUUGUUCACCCCCUACACUUGAUUUUUCGGAAAAACAAAAAAAAAACGUAUCCUCUACUCCUUUUUCCUCUUUCGAUCGCCGUUUGUUUCGUUAAAAUCUAUUGGAUUGUUUUUUUAAAAUAAAAGUUUUGUAAAUUUCAACCAUCAUAACUGUGAUUCUGUUUAUUUUUUUAUUAUCACACCAAUGGUUUUUUUCACCAUUGUUUACUCCGAAAAUGAUGCCGUUGGUCCUAUUCAAUUAUCCGAACUGCAAGAAUGCGAAACUUGAAAAACACCCCUUAGGACCCUCAACUUGGAGGGGUGGUUUCACCCCCAAGAUAUGUUUUUCCGCUGCUAGAAAAAAUACAUGUCCCUUAGAUUUUGACAGAGAAUAACAUAUCUCAGUUUCAUUCAAAUCGGAGAGGGACACUUGGGAUACCUUCCUUUGUGGCAGAUUUAAGUAUUUGCUUAGGAACGUCCUUACAAAUAAUUCCAAGUGCAAAUUUGCCCUUAUUCACUAAAAAAUAUGGAGGUCGUCUUGUGAUAUGCAACUUGCAACCAACUAAGCUUG